RNAcentral lists this ribosomal RNA (496 nucleotides) under uncultured bacterium. RNAcentral's name for it is "partial 16S ribosomal RNA". It matches the Rfam family "Bacterial small subunit ribosomal RNA", at positions 30 to 523 of the family's 1533-position model. The record is from RNAcentral.
AUUGAACGCUGGCGGAAUGCUUUACACAUGCAAGUCGAACGGUAGAGGGGGCAACCCCUCGAGAGUGGCGAACGGGUGAGUAAUAUAUCGGAACGUGCCCAGUCGUGGGGGAUAACGUAGCGAAAGUUACGCUAAUACCGCAUACGAUCUAAGGAUGAAAGCGGGGGAUCGCAAGACCUCGCGCGAUUGGAGCGGCCGAUAUCAGAUUAGGUAGUUGGUGGGGUAAAGGCUCACCAAGCCAACGAUCUGUAGCUGGUCUGAGAGGACGACAAGCCACACUGGAACUGAGACACGGUCCAGACUCCUACGGGAGGCAGCAGUGGGGAAUUUUGGACAAUGGACGCAAGUCUGAUCCUGCCAUUCCGCGUGCAGGAUGAAGGCCCUCGGGUUGUAAACUGCUUUUGUACGGAACGAAAAGGUCUCUCUUAAUACGGGGGGCUCAUGACGGUACCGUAAGAAUAAGCACCGGCUAACUACGUGCCAGCCGCCGCGGUAA